RNAcentral lists this ribosomal RNA (468 nucleotides) under uncultured bacterium. RNAcentral describes it as "partial 16S ribosomal RNA". It matches the Rfam family "Bacterial small subunit ribosomal RNA", at positions 28 to 507 of the family's 1533-position model. The record is from RNAcentral.
GACGAACGCUGGCGGCGUGCCUAACACAUGCAAGUCGAACGAAAGGGCCAGGAGUUUGUGGGGUGGUUGAUUGCCGAGGGGGUGAGAAACACGUGUGUAUAAUCUACCUGUCAGACUGGGAUAUUCAGGGAAAAGGGGAUCUUAUCCCGGAUGAUCUCUUGCUGCACGGUGGGCAUUGGUGAGAUUCGGUGGUUGUGGAUGGAAUAGCGGCUUACGAGCUUGAUUGUGGGGUAGUGGCGUACCAAGGCUAUGAAGGGUAGCAGGCCUGCGAGGGUGACCGGCCACAUGAGGACUGAGAUACGGACCAGUCUCCAACGGGACGCAGCAGUGGAGAGUAUUACACAGUGGGCCGGCGCCAGUUGCGGCAACGCCGCGUGCGGGAAGACGGCCUUCGGGUUGUAAACCGAUUUCGCCUGUGACGAGGCGAGAGUGACGGUAAUGGGUAAAGAAGCACCGGCUAACUACGUG